This 497-nucleotide ribosomal RNA is filed under the name uncultured bacterium. Its description in RNAcentral is "partial 16S ribosomal RNA". It matches the Rfam family "Bacterial small subunit ribosomal RNA", at positions 28 to 507 of the family's 1533-position model. The record is from RNAcentral.
GAUGAACGCUGGCGGCGUGCCUAAUACAUGCAAGUCGAGCGAACAGACGAGGAGCUUGCUCCUCUGACGUUAGCGGCGGACGGGUGAGUAACACGUGGAUAACCUACCUAUAAGACUGGGAUAACUUCGGGAAACCGGAGCUAAUACCGGAUAAUAUAUUGAACCGCAUGGUUCAAUAGUGAAAGACGGUUUUGCUGUCACUUAUAGAUGGAUCCGCGCCGCAUUAGCUAGUUGGUAAGGUAACGGCUUACCAAGGCAACGAUGCGUAGCCGACUUGAGAGGGUGAUCGGCCCCACUGGAACUGAGACACGGUCCAGACUCCUACGGGAGGCAGCAGUAGGGAAUCUUCCGCAAUGGGCGAAAGCCUGACGGAGCAACGCCGCGUGAGUGAUGAAGGUCUUCGGAUCGUAAAACUCUGUUAUUAGGGAAGAACAAAUGUGUAAGUAACUAUGCACGUCUUGACGGUACCUAAUCAGAAAGCCACGGCUAACUACGUG